RNAcentral lists this microRNA precursor (84 nucleotides) under Bombyx mori (domestic silkworm). RNAcentral describes it as "mir-2807 microRNA precursor family". It matches the Rfam family "mir-2807 microRNA precursor family". The record is from Rfam by way of RNAcentral. Lineage: Eukaryota; Metazoa; Arthropoda; Insecta; Lepidoptera; Bombycidae.
UUAACUCAAGUUUGUAUGCAGUUGGAACAGCGCCCCUAGCGGCAAACGUAGGCAAACAUUCCAACUCCAUACAAAUUUGAGUUA